RNAcentral lists this long non-coding RNA (264 nucleotides) under Homo sapiens (human). RNAcentral describes it as "HSALNT0274592". The record is from RNAcentral. Lineage: Eukaryota; Metazoa; Chordata; Mammalia; Primates; Hominidae.
AGAUGAUGAUAAGCAUAUGUAGAAAUGCAACGUUUUCACUGACCGGAAUAACCAGCUCCAGGCUGCAGUUCUCUGCACGAAGAUAAAGUUUGAUAGGCAAACUUGGCAGCUCCUGACCGCGGCGACCUGAGCCCAGAGGAGCAGCCGGGGGCGGUGGGCAGAGCCAGGUGUGGACAAGCGGGUGGGUCCCGCACCUGGGUGGGGGAAGCGGCAGGUUCCAGGGUCAAAUUGAGGUUGUACUAGCCCUGGCCUCCAAACCUCAGG